GGUCAAUGUGGUCAAUCUGUUUUCGAUUAGGUCACUUAGUGAUUUGAGUUCACCCAUGCUAUCUAGGUUAGUCAGUUAUGUGAUUGGGCUGACAAAUUAAGGUGUAACCUGAACACGCCUGUCCUCUCCAAAGACUUAGAGAAGUCAGUGGGAGGAUCUUAUGUAAUAAAAAGAAAUUCACACAUAAAAUCCUCUAAAUUAUUAGAUCCUUAAAAUGAAAU
This 221-nucleotide long non-coding RNA is filed under the name Elaeis guineensis (African oil palm). RNAcentral's name for it is "long non-coding RNA (EGUI_LNC055265)". Lineage: Eukaryota; Viridiplantae; Streptophyta; Magnoliopsida; Arecales; Arecaceae. The record is from RNAcentral.